This 195-nucleotide unclassified non-coding RNA is filed under the name plant metagenome. Its description in RNAcentral is "partial contains small subunit ribosomal RNA, internal transcribed spacer 1, and 5.8S ribosomal RNA". The record is from RNAcentral.
UCUCCGUUGGUGAACCAGCGGAGGGAUCAUUACCGAGUUUACAACUCCCAAACCCCUGUGAACAUACCAUUUGUUGCCUCGGCGGUGCCUGCUUCGGCAGCCCGCCAGAGGACCCAAACCCUUGAUUUUAUACAGUAUCUUCUGAGUAAAUGCUUAAAUAAAUCAAGACUUUCAACAACGGAUCUCUUGGUUCUG